Long non-coding RNA from Lacerta agilis (Sand lizard), 599 nucleotides. RefSeq lists it as uncharacterized. Lineage: Eukaryota; Metazoa; Chordata; Lepidosauria; Squamata; Lacertidae. The record is from RefSeq and is a predicted model, not a curated record. The transcript has 4 exons.
UCUCAAGCUGAUGACUGCUUGCACUCCAGUGUGAAGGCCGCAUCACAGCAAAAAGGGUUUUCCUGCCCCUGCUCAGGAUUAAGUUCCAGACCUACGGGCUUGGAAAGCCAGUUUCUCAUGAAACGUGAAGAUAUCUGAACUAGAGUCAGUGGAGCUGUUUGGCCUGAAAAAAGAUGGGGAAGCCCUGACCUAUGGCCUGCCAGCCAAAUCCAGCCUGCCUGCAACCGGGAGGAAGCAGAACUGGCUCUACCUCUGCUUUUGGCAAACUUGCUGCUGUUGUCCAUGGAUGCAGCCCUUCUCCUGGGGGACUUGCCACUUUUGCCUCCUUCUGGAUUGAGCAUCCACCAAGAGCUUUUUCCUGUUCCUUCGUUCUGUACUCUGAUAAACUUGCUGUGCAGCGAGAGGUUGUGACGAAUUGAAUUCUGGGAAGAAGAAAAAAGUUGCAAGAAAAAAGGCAGCGUGGACCAUGAAACCACCGAGUGAAGAACAGAGAAAGAAGAAGUAAUACAGAAAGAACAUAAAAGGCACAUCCUUGCAAUAUAAAAGGGAAUGCUGAAAUGAAAGCAAGGCAGCUGUACAGCAAAGACAGCACAUCCUGC